This 84-nucleotide transfer RNA is filed under the name Candidatus Anammoximicrobium sp. RNAcentral describes it as "tRNA-Leu". It matches the Rfam family "tRNA". Rfam says of the family: Transfer RNA (tRNA) molecules are approximately 80 nucleotides in length. Their secondary structure includes four short double-helical elements and three loops (D, anti-codon, and T loops). The record is from RNAcentral. Lineage: Bacteria; Pseudomonadati; Planctomycetota; Planctomycetia; Pirellulales; Pirellulaceae.
GCGGGAAUGGCGGAAUUGGCAGACGCGCUAGGUUGAGGGCCUAGUCCGGGCAACCGGGUGCAGGUUCAAGUCCUGUUUCCCGCA